RNAcentral lists this long non-coding RNA (2383 nucleotides) under Sus scrofa (pig). RNAcentral describes it as "lncRNA (ENSSSCG00065035330.1)". The record is from RNAcentral. Lineage: Eukaryota; Metazoa; Chordata; Mammalia; Artiodactyla; Suidae.
UUUUUUUUUUUUUUUUUUUUUUGCUUUUUGAGGCCGUACCCACAGCAUAUGGAAGUUCCCAGGCUAGAGGUGGUAUUGGAACUAGCUGCCAGACUAUGCCACAGGCACAGCAAUGCAGGAUCCAAGCCACGUUUGUGACCUACACCACAGCUCAAGGCAAUGCCAGAUCCUUAACCCACUGAGCGAGGACCGGUAUUGAACCGCCAUCCUCAUGGAUAUUAGUUGGAUUCAUUUCUGCUGUGCCACAAUAGGAACUCCAAGACUCUAUUCUUUUAAAAAAAAAAUUACAUUUUAUUUUAUUAUUUUAUUUUAUAAUGAUUUUUAUUUUUUCCAUUAUAGCUGGCUUACUGUGUUCUGUCAAUUUUCUACUGUACAGCAAGGUGACCCAUCUAUGUAUACAUAGAUGUAUACAUUCUUUUUUCUCACAGUAUCAUACUCCAUCAUAAGUGACUAGAAAUAGUUCCCAGUGCUAUAUAGCAGGAUCUCAUUGCUUAUCCAUUCCAAAGGCAAUAGUUUGCAUCUAUUAACCCUAAAUUCCCAGUCCAUCCCAUUCCCUCCCCCUCCCCCUUGGCAACUACAAGUCUGUUCUCCAUGUCCAUGAUUUUCUUUUCUGUGGAAAGGUUAAUUUGUGCUGUAUAUUAGAUUCCAGAUGGAAGUGAUGUUAUAUGGUAUAUGGUAGAGUAAAGUAGAGUAAAGUAAGGUAGAGUAAUGUAAAGUAAAGUAGAGUAUGGUAGAAGUAAAGUGAAGUAAGGUAAAGUGAAGUGGAGUAGAGUAAAGUAAAGUAGAGUAGAGUAGAGUAAGGUGAAGUAAAGUAGAGUGAAGUAGAGUGUGGUAAAGUAGAGUAGAGUAAAGUAAAGUAGAGUAAAGUAAGGUAGAGUAAUGUAAAGUAAAGUAGAGUAUGGUAGAGUAAAAUAGAGUAUGGUAGAGUAACGUAAAAAUGCUUUGUUGAAACCCUUCAGGGAGUUGAGGGUUUUAGUGCACAAGCCACCCAUUCUCCUUGUAUUCGUGCCUUUACAAUAAACACUGCACUUUCCUUCACACAACCUGCUUUCAGCAGAUUGGCUUUACUGCCCAUACACAGGCAAGCGGGCCCAAGUUUGGUUCUGUAACAACCCCACUCCUGGAAACAAAGGAAUUCCCUAACUAGAGUAAAUGACUGUCAGGGUGGAGGGGGGAAGGUUGGGAAACUGGAAAAGGAGAAGGAUGAGAACCUUAGGUAUUUGUAUUUUCUGGGGUACUAGGUAAUGUCACAGUACCUGUCAUGGUGAACAGAUGGAGCUUGAGUGCUUUCCAUUUGUCACCUCACUGGACAGCCCUGCAACAAGAGUAUUAAUUAACAUUACUGUGUCAUAUCCCCAGAAAAAGGUGUUUCUCAUCAGUUGGGGAUAGCAGGUGACAUUUUUUAUGCCAUGGCUCCUUUUGACAAUCGUGGGAAGUCUACAAACAUCAUCUUAGAAUUAGGUUUUGAAAUGCAUGAAAUAAAGGAAACCAACUGUACUGCAUCACACUUCUAUCCAUGGACUCCAUGGGCCAUGUGAAGGAUUUCUGGUAGAAACUGGGCUGUUUCCACACAAAGCAAGUGUGAGAACUAGAAAGGCCAUAUGCUACAGAGUCACCCUGCUCUGCAGGCUUGUACUUGAUGGAUAGAAGAGACAGAAAGAGUGAAUGAGAGAACUCCAUGAGCUGAUUAGCUGGGGUGAUGUGCAUUUGACCUCCAAGGGCCAAAGACCAAGGCAGGUAGAAUGGCUACUGUUAGUCUUGUCCUGAGGAAGCAUUUGCACGUUCCCUCUCAUGGCUAAAGGCCUUUGUAGAAGGACUGCACCACAGGCACAGGCUGGGAUCACACCAGGCUCUAAACAAGCAGGUACCAGAGAUGGACUGAGGUGUCCAUUCCAGGUCAUCAGCGAGGAACUCAGAAGAAAGGCGUGAGGAUCCCUGUUUCAGGAGCAACACCUGGUGGCAGCAACAAGCAGAAGUGGCUCACUGAGCAAGCAAUACCAAGAAGGACUCACAUCUAGAAUUGAGAAAGCAUCCCCACCCCCAGGGUCCUUAAGGAACUGCAGAGGGAGAGCCUUCUACCAGUCAGGCUCCCAGCAGGAAACCAGGAGCCCUUCAAGGGGGACGAAUUCAGGCACUGUCUACAAAGAUGGAGGUGUGUUUAAGGGAAACGGAGAAAGGUCAAGUAGCCUAGAUCAGCUGGGGACAUUUACCUUCACCACCUUGAGAGGGGUGAGGGAAGGCAGCUGUGAUCGGAAUCCAGAGAGAUGAACAGGAAAAAAAUAUCCUAGCCUCACUUCCCUCCACCCUGCAAAGUUCCCUGAGGCUUCCCAGCGGUGGAACCCAACCCAACUCCCAAGUCCUUCAAGGGCAUAACUGACAGCCC